Molecule: long non-coding RNA, 622 nt
Filed under: Ananas comosus (pineapple)
Lineage: Eukaryota; Viridiplantae; Streptophyta; Magnoliopsida; Poales; Bromeliaceae
Description: long non-coding RNA (ACOM_LNC004591)
Source: RNAcentral
UACCUCCUCCCCCACUCCAAAAUCCAUAGCGCACAUGCAUCCGUACCACUACAACAAAAACGGUCUAUAGCGACACUUUUAAAUAUAGGUACAUGUCAAAAAAGUGCUGCUAGCUAAAAUUACCGACACUUUUAAAAAGUGUUGCUAUAUGUGGGGUCGCUAGGUAUAUAGUGACAGUUAAAGAGUGUCGCUAUAACCUAAAAGAGUGCUGUUAAUUUACCAACACUUAUUUAAGCAUUUAGCAACCGCCGAAACUCUAUCUCGUUGGCUGCGGUAGCGGAGGAGGACGACAGUAAAGGCUCUUCGUUUAGAAUUUCAGUGGAUUGAGUGAAGAGAGAAUAAAAGAUGGUAAUUGAUUUUUCUUUUUUUUUUUCUUUUAUGUUUGUAAUCGGGCCAAAUGGACUGGGUGUGGUAGGUUGAGUAGAGUAAUCUUUUAUUUUUGGUUGGAUUGGGCUUUAUAUUUAGGCAUUAGUAGAUGUGUUUUUAAGUUUUAGCAUAAAUGGGACACUUACUCAAAAGUGUCCUAAACAUGUGUCCCUAUAACCUAAUUCUGUUGUAGUGUACUAAGAAUGUCUAACCACAAGUCCGCUUCUUAGAGAGGGCCUUGAAAUAAAAAUAAAAA